RNAcentral lists this ribosomal RNA (484 nucleotides) under uncultured bacterium. RNAcentral's name for it is "partial 16S ribosomal RNA". It matches the Rfam family "Bacterial small subunit ribosomal RNA", at positions 30 to 507 of the family's 1533-position model. The record is from RNAcentral.
AUUGAACGCUGGCGGCAGGCCUAACACAUGCAAGUCGAGCGGAUGAAGGGAGCUUGCUCCUGGUUUCAGCGGCGGAGGGGUGGGUAAUGCCUAGGAAUCUGCCGGGUGGUGGGGGAUAACGUCCGGAAACGGGCGCUAUUACCCCAUACGUCCUGAGGGGGAAAGGGGGGGAUCUUCGGACCUCCCGCUAUCAGAUGAGCCUAAGUCGGAUUAGCUAGUUGGUGGGGUAAAGGCCUACCAAGGCGACGAUCCGUAACUGGUCUGAGAGGAUGAUCAGUCACACUGGAACUGAGACACGGUCCAGACUCCUACGGGAGGCAGCAGUGGGGAAUAUUGGACAAUGGGCGAAAGCCUGAUCCAGCCAUGCCGCGUGUGUGAAGAAGGUCUUCGGAUUGUAAAGCACUUUAAGUUGGGAGGAAGGGCAGUAAGUUAAUACCUUGCUGUUUUGACGUUACCAACAGAAUAAGCACCGGCUAACUUCGUG